UACGGGGGGGGCAAGCGUUGUUCGGAAUUACUGGGCGUAAAGGGCUCGUAGGCGGCCAACUAAGUCUGACGUGAAAUCCCUCGGCUUAACUGAGGAACUGCGUCCGAUACUGAUUGGCUUGAGGCUGGGAGAGGGACGUGGAAUUCCAGGUGUAGCGGUGAAAUGCGUAGAUAUCUGGAGGAACACCGGUGGCGAAGGCGGCGUCCUGGACCAGCCCUGACGCUGAGGAGCGAAAGCCAGGGGAGCAAACGGG
RNAcentral lists this ribosomal RNA (253 nucleotides) under uncultured bacterium. Its description in RNAcentral is "partial 16S ribosomal RNA". It matches the Rfam family "Bacterial small subunit ribosomal RNA", at positions 524 to 776 of the family's 1533-position model. The record is from RNAcentral.